ACUGGCGAACGGGUGAGUAACACGUAGGUGAUCUAUCUUUGGGUCUGGGAUAGCCUGUGGAAACACAGGGUAAUACCGGAUACGACCUUUAGACUGCGGUCUAGAGGGGAAAGUCGCUUAGGCGACGCCCUGAGCUGAGCCUGCGGCUCAUUAGUUAGUUGGUAGGGUAACGGCCUACCAAGGCGACGAUGAGUAGCCGGCCUGAGAGGGUGUGCGGCCACACUGGGACUGAGACACGGCCCAGACUCCUACGGGAGGCAGCAGCUAAGAAUCUUCCGCAAUGGGGGGAACCCUGACGGAGCGACGCCGCGUGGACGAAGAAUGCCGGAAGGUUGUAAAGUCCUUUUCCUGGGGGAGAAUAAUGGAUGGAGGGAAUGCCAUUCAGAUGACGUGAACCAGGGAAUAAGCCCCGGCUAAUUACGUGCCAGCAGCCGCGGUAACACGUAAGGGGCGAGCGUUGUUCGGAUUUAUUGGGCGUAAAGGGCGUGUAGGCGG
RNAcentral lists this ribosomal RNA (495 nucleotides) under uncultured spirochete. Its description in RNAcentral is "bacterial SSU rRNA". It matches the Rfam family "Bacterial small subunit ribosomal RNA", at positions 94 to 578 of the family's 1533-position model. The record is from RNAcentral. Lineage: Bacteria; Pseudomonadati; Spirochaetota; Spirochaetia; Spirochaetales.